Molecule: ribosomal RNA, 575 nt
Filed under: Salmonella enterica subsp. enterica serovar Enteritidis
Lineage: Bacteria; Pseudomonadati; Pseudomonadota; Gammaproteobacteria; Enterobacterales; Enterobacteriaceae
Description: partial 23S ribosomal RNA
Rfam family: Bacterial large subunit ribosomal RNA
Source: RNAcentral
UGUGACUCGUCACACUAUCAUUAACUGAAUCCAUAGGUUAAUGAGGCGAACCGGGGGAACUGAAACAUCUAAGUACCCCGAGGAAAAGAAAUCAACCGAGAUUCCCCCAGUAGCGGCGAGCGAACGGGGAGGAGCCCAGAGCCUGAAUCAGCAUGUGUGUUAGUGGAAGCGUCUGGAAAGGCGCGCGAUACAGGGUGACAGCCCCGUACACAAAAGCGCAUGUGCUGUGAGCUCGAUGAGUAGGGCGGGACACGUGGUAUCCUGUCUGAAUAUGGGGGGACCAUCCUCCAAGGCUAAAUACUCCUGACUGACCGAUAGUGAACCAGUACCGUGAGGGAAAGGCGAAAAGAACCCCGGCGAGGGGAGUGAAAAAGAACCUGAAACCGUGUACGUACAAGCAGUGGGAGCACCCUUUGGGUGUGACUGCGUACCUUUUGUAUAAUGGGUCAGCGACUUAUAUUCUGUAGCAAGGUUAACCGAAUAGGGGAGCCGGAGGGAAACCGAGUCUUAAUUGGGCGUUAAGUUGCAGGGUAUAGACCCGAAACCCGGUGAUCUAGCCAUGGGCAGGUUGAAGG